This 1660-nucleotide long non-coding RNA is filed under the name Pogona vitticeps (central bearded dragon). RNAcentral's name for it is "lncRNA (ENSPVIG00000024468.1)". The record is from RNAcentral. Lineage: Eukaryota; Metazoa; Chordata; Lepidosauria; Squamata; Agamidae.
UGUGUGUAUGAGUGUACAAUAUAUGCUUUUUCGAACAUAUAUAGAUAUAAACGCUCCGCUUCACUCGGCCCUCCUCCCCCUCCCCCUCUCACUUUCCCCUUCAGGCGGGAAACCAAGCGGCCCAACCCCGGAGAGACAAAAUGGCGGCUCCCUUUCUCGCCUCUCCCCCCUUCCUUCCGGACCUCGCGCCUGCGCACUCCCCCUUUUUGCCCCGACGCGUAUCCCUCCGCCGCUUCUUCUCCCCCCUCCCCCUCUUGUUUUGCCAUCGAACGCUUCAGCCGUAAAAUAAUCCCUCGUCCCUAUGAGGGGAAAGCCGCCCUCCAGGUUGGUAAUUCCUCGUUCCUUCGCCCGUUUCGGCCUCGGGGCCUGCUUCUUUCCUCGGCCUCCCUCCCUUCUUUCGCUUCCUCGGUCGCCUCAGCCGUGACGAGGCGAGCGGGCGGGAGGGCGGUUGGUGUGUCCUUCCGCGGGGGGACUUUUUGGCGGGGCUUUUGGGCGCCUCUGAGGAGACGCGGCCUGGGCGGCCUCGGGCGCCCCUCGCUCGUCGUGCUGGGAGCCGGGCGCGGGCUACACACGUGGAAUUCUAUGCAUGUUUAUGUAGAAACAUCUUUUGCUGAGUUCGUUGGCGGCUGGGACAAAAGGAAUUUGAAUACUUAUAAGUAAGCUAGUUUUUCAUUCUCUCCUUGGGUAUCCUUAUAAAAGUUUUAGAUAAGUUGCUGCACCCAAUGUUUGGUGGUUCCUGUAACCAUUUUAUACACAUGGGGAGCUAAGGCUGAGCAUGUCCUGCCAAAGGACAUUGGGGAAAUCUGUAACUGAAUGACCAGGGUGUGUGGGUGACAGCUCAAUGUGCCAUUAAUCACAUCGUUAUUUUACCACUGUCUUCAAAUCUUAAAUUAUAAGAGAGUUACAGUUGCAGAUACUCAAGCUCUUAAAGUAUAGGUUUUGAAAGGAGAUCUUGGUUGUCUAGCCCAGUGGUUCUUAACCUUGGGUUACUCAGGUGUUUUUGGACUGCAACUCCCAGAAGCCUUCACCACCAGCUGUGCUGGCUGGGGUUUCUGGGAGUUGCAGUUCAAAAACACCUGAGUAACUCAAGGUUAAGAACCACUGGUCUAGCCAUUGGGUCACUUGUAGAGCCCAGAACACAGCAUUAUGUAGGAAGGUGCAAAAGCCAUUCUGCCCUUUUUACUGUGCUUUGCUUGUUUGUGAACUAAGAAACCUAUUAUGUUUCUUUUUUUUUAACGAGGACAAUAUUUCCUUCACAAAAUCGCCUAUCUGUCUCUCUGAGUAUUCUACAAAGAAAUUUUAAACAGCCUCCUGUCUUGCCAAGAAGUGUUUGAAUAUGAUGGUGUAGAAGAGAAAUUCAACAUUCUACAGGAUGUUAUAGUGAAGUUUUAGGGGGAAUCGAAAGAUUCUGCACUGAAAGGCUUCAAGGGGUCUUAUUUAUGAAAGUCUCAUAAGAGUACAACCGUUUGCCCUAUCAGAAAGUUUGGACUGCCGUUCUGAUCAUCACUUACCAUUGGCCAACUCAGCAAGCUGCAGUAGAGAGCUGAAGGUUCCCCACUCCUAAUGUAUAAAACAGUUUACUUGGCUGUGCCUUCGCCUGGCCUUGAGCGUGACUGUUUUGCACUCAUUCAGAGUUCAUGUAGAAAACAUAUAUUAAGUA